GAAGCCCACCAGACUGCCGCUGGUGCAAUCUUGGAAACAAGGCACUGGAGGAACGUCCGGACUGCGCAGGGCAGCGUAGCAGCUAACGGCUGUCCACUGAAAACACCAAGCGCAAGCGAGGGGUAUAAGGUGAGGAUCAGAGCAACAGAGACGAGCCGAUUAAGUUCGGGUGAAACGGGCAAUCUCUACGCGCAGCAAUACCAAGUAGGCACACGCAAAGCGAGGCGGUUCGCCGCAGCGCCAUGACCGGGGCCCCCGGAGUGUGCGGGUAGGUAGCACCGAGCCGUUGGGUGACCAGCGGCCCAGAGUAAUGGCAGUCACUUCUGCAGGCCCGCAAGGGUGUGCAGUUGCACAGAAUCCGGCUUAUCGGUGGGCUUCACAC
Molecule: RNase P RNA, 382 nt
Filed under: Rhodoferax sp.
Lineage: Bacteria; Pseudomonadati; Pseudomonadota; Betaproteobacteria; Burkholderiales; Comamonadaceae
Description: RNase P RNA component class A
Rfam family: Bacterial RNase P class A
About the family: Ribonuclease P (RNase P) is a ubiquitous endoribonuclease, found in archaea, bacteria and eukarya as well as chloroplasts and mitochondria.
Source: RNAcentral